RNAcentral lists this ribosomal RNA (496 nucleotides) under uncultured bacterium. RNAcentral's name for it is "partial 16S ribosomal RNA". It matches the Rfam family "Bacterial small subunit ribosomal RNA", at positions 28 to 507 of the family's 1533-position model. The record is from RNAcentral.
GACGAACGCUGGCGGCGUGCCUAAUACAUGCAAGUUGAGCGCUGAAGGUUGGUACUUGUUCCAACUGGAUGAGCAGCGAACGGGUGAGUAACGCGUGGGGAAUCUGCCUUUGAGCGGGGGACAACAUUUGGAAACGAAUGCUAAUACCGCAUAAAAACUUUAAACACAAGUUUUAAGUUUGAAAGAUGCAAUUGCAUCACUCAAAGAUGAUCCCGCGUUGUUUUAGCUAGUUGGUGAGGUAAAGGCUCACCAAGGCAAGGAUACAUAACCGCCCUGAGAGGGUGUUCGCCAAAAUGGGACCGGGAAAAGGCCCAAACUCCCACGGGAAGCAGCAGUAGGGAAACUUCGGGAAUUGGGGAAAGUCUGGCCGGGGAAAGGCGCGGGGGGGAAGGAGGUUUUCGGAUCGGAAAACCCUGUUGGUAGGGAAGAACGUUGGGGGGAGUGGAAAGCUCAUCAAGUGACGGUAACUACCCAGAAAGGGACGGCUAACUACGUG